This 234-nucleotide unclassified non-coding RNA is filed under the name uncultured fungus. RNAcentral's name for it is "sequence contains ITS1, 5.8S rRNA gene". The stretch from base 186 to 234 matches the Rfam family "5.8S ribosomal RNA", at positions 1 to 49 of the family's 154-position model. The record is from RNAcentral. Lineage: Eukaryota; Fungi.
UCUCCGUAGGUGAACCUGCGGAGGGAUCAUUACUGAGUGAGGGUUUAACCGCCCGACCUCCAACCCCAUGUGAACCGAAACCUGUUGCUUCGGGGGCGACCCGGCUCCGGCCGGCGAGCCCCCGCGGGUCCACUACCAAACUCUGCGUCUGAAGCGUCCGAGUCUGAUACUUAAAUAUCAAUCAAAACUUUCAACAACGGAUCUCUUGGUUCUGGCAUCGAUGAAGAACGCAGC